Non-coding RNA from Schistosoma margrebowiei, 45 nucleotides. The record is from Rfam. NCBI's taxonomy places the organism in Eukaryota, Metazoa, Platyhelminthes, Trematoda, Strigeidida, Schistosomatidae.
AUCCAGAUGACGAGUCCUAAAUAAGACGAAACGCAUGUUGUGCAU